AGGAUGAAGAGUCAUCGUCCUCAUUCUAAGAGUUUGAGGUAGUGUCUAAGAAGUCUACAGUGGUCUGUAGAGCUGCAUCUGCUCUUCUGGCAUUGUCCCUGCCAACAGCCAUGCAGACUGGGGGCCAGAGCCAGGAGGAAAAUGAAGGGCCUGCAUUGAUACCACUGAGAACUCAGCCUUCAGGAACUGGUAAAUGACUUUUUUUAACCUCUGGAGAUAAACUGGACAGACUGGAGCCAGUAUCAAGACAGUCCUUCCAACUCUACUUUCCCAGCAACUAGUAGCAAUCCACAGCUCCAAGGAUAUGAAACCACCAGGGAAGCCCUCAGCACAUUUUCACAAGAAUCUGUUUUGAGUGAGUUUGAUUGCCAGCUCCCAAGCCAAUCCAGCCAUCUGAGCCAAGACCCCACAUUCCAUUCAUCUUAGA
RNAcentral lists this long non-coding RNA (427 nucleotides) under Monodelphis domestica (gray short-tailed opossum). Its description in RNAcentral is "lncRNA (ENSMODG00000033959.2)". The record is from RNAcentral. Lineage: Eukaryota; Metazoa; Chordata; Mammalia; Didelphimorphia; Didelphidae.